Molecule: long non-coding RNA, 1236 nt
Filed under: Homo sapiens (human)
Lineage: Eukaryota; Metazoa; Chordata; Mammalia; Primates; Hominidae
Description: HSALNT0114420
Source: RNAcentral
AGGGAACUCCCUGACCCCUUGCGUUUCCCAAGUGAGGCAAUGCCUGGCCCUGCUUCGGCUCGUGCACGGUGCAUGCACCCACUGUCCUGCGCCCACUGUCUGGCACUCCCUAGUGAGAUGAACCCGGUACCUCAGAUGGAAAUGCAGAAAUCACCCGUCUUCUGCGUCGCUCACGCUGGGAGCUGUAGACCGGAGCUGUUCCUAUUCCGCCAUCUUGGCUCCUCCCUCCAGAAAGGCAAUACUGAACUCAUAGAAUGAAUUGGGAAGUACUUCCCCUGUGUCUAUCUUCUGGAAGAGACUGUAAAAGGCACAUCAUUAAAAUAUCAACUUUGGCAGAGACGUGGAGCAAGAUGACUGCAUAGAAGUUUCUACUGAUCAUUUCCCACCGCUUCCACGGGAACACCAAGUUUGAUAUCCACACAAAGGGAGCACCUUCAAAGGAAGCAAAAAUCAGAUACAUUCCCAUUGAGGCACGAAAAUGGAUCUAGCCACAGCUCUGAUGAUAUUGCUUUGCCUUUAACAGUACCUCCCAUUAGUCUCUUGCACCAAGAUGCACAUUUUUCAGUUUACAUAGUGGAUUUCAUCAUUCUACUAGAAAGCCUCCACUUUGUUUCUGAUUCAGUUUCAGUUUCCAAACCAGGUGCUUUGUCCCUCACUGACUGUUUUGGAUGACCUCUAGUUUUUCCCCAAGGUUCUAAAUUUAGUUUGGCUUUUAUUUGGCCAUCAUUUUAAUUCCCACUUUUUGUUUUGGUGCUGUUGAUUGUACAAUCCAACCAUCUCUACCUUUCAAUAUUUGCAGGUUUCUUUUUUCCUGUUUGUCUUGAACAUUCUGAUUUUUCCUAACCUUUGAGUCACCUGCCUCUGUUUUACCAUGUCAUUGAAUUAUGGUUUAGUCAAGUGGAAAGACAAGCUCCUGUCACUGCCUAUAGCACUGCCUAGUUUCCUUCCAAUUAUCAAUAAAAUUCUUUGUUAUUAGGUUUCUUCUGUUCCACUAUAAGCUCAAGUAAUUCACAACAAUAAAACAAGACAAAAAUAAUUAACAUUCACGAGAAUAAAGAGCAGCCAUUAAAUCAUGAAGUUAUCAGGGUGGAAGCAGCUCUAAUGGCUUCCAUUUAGCCUUUCUCACCAUAAUAGCCCUUACUCUACAAGUCAUGGAGCCAAUGUGGGGGUUCAGUCAGCUGCUGAGCAUGUCUAUGCACUGGGGAAAUGACCACAGGAGGAGUCCAGGGACCCACU